Molecule: long non-coding RNA, 450 nt
Organism: Lycium ferocissimum
Lineage: Eukaryota; Viridiplantae; Streptophyta; Magnoliopsida; Solanales; Solanaceae
Exons: 3
Source: RefSeq, a predicted model, not a curated record
CCAAUUUAAUUUGCAGACUACUCCUCGCUUCUCCUCUAAAAACACCAAACUAGAAGUUAGCCAAAAUAUAAUGGUUGCUAAAAUUGUGAUUUAAUUUCUCAUCAGCUGCUAAAUUACAGCAAAAUACCACUCUGCUAUCUAGUUUACAAAACAUGUACAUAGACUGUAUACGUGGAGUAUCCCUCUUUUGUACUAUUUCUUACUUAUCCCUCAGCAAGCUAAAAUGCAGAAACAAGAUGAGCAAGACUUACACGGGGCUAGUGGUGCCAGAAAUGCGUCGAGCAUGUUGAGCAGAGAGGUGAUCACAUGGUGGAUUAUUAGAGGCAUGGUCAAGGUCAAUGAGUGCGUAGCGGACCGGGUACUGGAAGGAAUGAUGAACGGGACGAAGUCUUUCGUGCCAUACAGUUCCUUCAUAAAGAGAAACAACAGAGUCGUCGUCUGCUCCGCCGC